This 465-nucleotide ribosomal RNA is filed under the name uncultured Veillonella sp. RNAcentral describes it as "bacterial SSU rRNA". It matches the Rfam family "Bacterial small subunit ribosomal RNA", at positions 338 to 795 of the family's 1533-position model. Lineage: Bacteria; Bacillati; Bacillota; Negativicutes; Veillonellales; Veillonellaceae. The record is from RNAcentral.
CCUACGGGAGGCUGCAGUGGGGAAUCUUCCGCAAUGGACGAAAGUCUGACGGAGCAACGCCGCGUGAGUGAUGACGGCCUUCGGGUUGUAAAGCUCUGUUAAUCGGGACGAAUGGUUCUUGUGCGAAUAGUGCGAGGAUUUGACGGUACCGGAAUAGAAAGCCACGGCUAACUACGUGCCAGCAGCCGCGGUAAUACGUAGGUGGCAAGCGUUGUCCGGAAUUAUUGGGCGUAAAGCGCGCGCAGGCGGAUUGGUCAGUCUGUCUUAAAAGUUCGGGGCUUAACCCCGUGAUGGGAUGGAAACUACCAAUCUAGAGUAUCGGAGAGGAAAGUGGAAUUCCUAGUGUAGCGGUGAAAUGCGUAGAUAUUAGGAAGAACACCAGUGGCGAAGGCGACUUUCUGGACGAAAACUGACGCUGAGGCGCGAAAGCCAGGGGAGCGAACGGGAUUAGAUACCCGAGUAGUC